UGGGGAAUCUUGGACAAUGGGCGCAAGCCUGAUCCAGCCAUGCCGCGUGAGUGAUGAAGGCCUUAGGGUUGUAAAGCUCUUUUUGCCGGGGACGAUAAUGACGGUACCCGGAGAAUAAGUCCCGGCUAACUUCGUGCCAGCAGCCGCGGUAAUACGAAGGGGACUAGCGUUGUUCGGAAUCACUGGGCGUAAAGCGCACGUAGGCGGAUUUGUAAGUCAGGGGUGAAAUCCCGGGGCUCAACCUCGGAACUGCCUUUGAUACUGCGGAUCUCGAGUCCGAUAGGGGUGAGUGGAAUUCCUAGUGUAGAGGUGAAAUUCGUAGAUAUUAGGAAGAACACCAGUGGCGAAGGCGGCCAACUGGCUCGAUACUGACGCUGAGGUGCGAAAGCGUGGGGAGCAAACAGGAUUAGAUACCCCCGUAGUCCCUGAGCGGGCUGGCAAGGCGCAU
This 448-nucleotide ribosomal RNA is filed under the name uncultured bacterium. RNAcentral's name for it is "bacterial SSU rRNA". It matches the Rfam family "Bacterial small subunit ribosomal RNA", at positions 355 to 825 of the family's 1533-position model. The record is from RNAcentral.